Long non-coding RNA from Ruditapes philippinarum (Manila clam), 310 nucleotides. RefSeq lists it as uncharacterized. NCBI's taxonomy places the organism in Eukaryota, Metazoa, Mollusca, Bivalvia, Venerida, Veneridae. The record is from RefSeq and is a predicted model, not a curated record. The transcript is spliced from 2 exons.
CAAGAUUAUCGCUAAUCAAAUCUGAAGUUUGGGUAUGAAAUAGCGACAAAUUAUGUUCUGCAGUUGACAACUUGACCUGUUGACGAUACAGAUAGUCUUCAAGCCAAAUCUUUGUCAUUAACCAAGCAAGCUGAAGCAGCACAUUGGAAUGUGUUUCUGUUGUUACUGUCAUGCCACUGACUUAACCAGGCAAAUGUCAUAGCUACUGAGCUGGAAGCUUUUAUAAUUAUUGACUGUAAAUUUUAUAAGUUUGAUGUGUUAAUGUGAUAAAAAAUGUAGGUACCAAAAUAAAAGUGGACAUUAUAGUUUA